This 65-nucleotide transfer RNA is filed under the name Coscineuta sp. OR249. RNAcentral describes it as "tRNA-Leu". The record is from RNAcentral. Lineage: Eukaryota; Metazoa; Arthropoda; Insecta; Orthoptera; Acrididae.
ACUAUUUUGACAGAUUAAUGUAUUGAAUUUAGAAUUCAUUUAUGUAGAUAUAUCUACAAAUAGUA